Molecule: long non-coding RNA, 1017 nt
Organism: Piliocolobus tephrosceles (Ugandan red Colobus)
Lineage: Eukaryota; Metazoa; Chordata; Mammalia; Primates; Cercopithecidae
Exons: 2
Source: RefSeq, a predicted model, not a curated record
UUAUGGCCCACUGUAUAUACAAAAUAGAUAUAUAUUUCUGUUUGUGUUUUUCUGUGUGUGUAUCACAUUCUACCUGUUGCUGCCUAUAUGAAUAAUUAGCUACCUAGAGAUUAAAUGGAAGGUGAAACUCCAGGUGAAGUGGUUGAGGGCAUGAAGGGGAGGCAGCCCCAGACUUUUACCCCUUUGUGCUCCUGACAUUCAGGAGGCCCUGAGGACCAACCUCUCAUCCACAGAGCCGGGGUCCUUCGCUAGUGGAUCCGUGAAACUCUCAUCUCAGGGGGAAUCGGCUUAUGUGCUCCUGUGUCCCAGGCUGCACAGAGACAGCACCCAGGGUUCAGUGACCCUGUACUGGGGACACUUUCCUUGCAGAUCCUGAGCUCUCAGGGUGCAGGAAAACUCUCCCAGAUGACUCAGAAGCAACGUUUAAAUCCAUAGAACACAGGAAAACUGAAAUCAUUCGGUGGGGAGACUGGAAGGAAGCCUGCUACAGCGGAGAAAGAGUGUUUUUUACAAAUUCUGUAAAAGUCACAUCAUAAGAUAUUAAGUAAUAAAAAAAAAUGCAGAGCCCAGGUGAGAGGCUGGCUCAGGUCUCUUUCUCUCUGUUUUGGUUCUCAGGAGCUGCUGAUACCCUCAGCCCAUCACAAAACGAGUCUGACUCUGAGACUGAUGUCCUCGCACCCCCAGGAUUACACAGUGGAGAAUCUCAUCCGCAUGGGCGUGGCUGGCUUGAUCCUGGUGGUCCUCGGGAUUUUGUUAUUUGAGGCUCGGCGCAGCUGGAGAAGCUUCCCAAGAUGCAGCCGGGAGAUGAACAACAGAGAGGACAAUGUACCUUUCGGAGUCGUGAAGCCUCGGGAACAGAUCUGAUGAUCCCAGGAGGUUCUGGAAGAAAAUCUAGGGCCGAUGCUAUCUGGACUGUCUGCGGGUCGUUUCUAGAGGAAGGAAUCAAUGUUUGAGUGCAGGGACAUUUUCUGGGGUGAUCCAUGGAGAACCAUUAAAAUGUGAUACCUUUCCUCUCCA